UACGAAGGGGGCUAGCGUUGCUCGGAAUCACUGGGCGUAAAGCGCACGUAGGCGGAUUGCUAAGUCAGGGGUGAAAGCCUGGAGCUCAACUCCAGAACUGCCUUUGAUACUGGGGAUCUCGAGUCCGGGAGAGGUGAGUGGAACUGCGAGUGUAGAGGUGAAAUUCGUAGAUAUUCGCAAGAACACCAGUGGCGAAGGCGGCUCACUGGCCCGGUACUGACGCUGAGGUGCGAAAGCGUGGGGAGCAAACAGG
This 253-nucleotide ribosomal RNA is filed under the name uncultured bacterium. RNAcentral's name for it is "partial 16S ribosomal RNA". It matches the Rfam family "Bacterial small subunit ribosomal RNA", at positions 524 to 776 of the family's 1533-position model. The record is from RNAcentral.